UUUUUUCCAUGUUUCUUUUAAGUGGCAACGACUCCAAGGUUGAGCUCACACUUCAUUUAUUUUGUUUUUAUUCUGAUCGCUUAUUGUUUAGAUUUUUACAAGUUAAUCAUAGUUAGAUAAUUUACUAAUUUUCAUAUUCCCUGUGUGAAUUUUACCCUGUUCUCUGAGUGGUUUCCGUUAGUAGGAUAUUAUUAUAGCUGUGACCGGUCAGAUGCUAACGUUUAUUUGAUUGAAGGAAAAAUGUGGAUUCGGGGUGGAGAAGGAAAGGUUUGCUUUCCACCAUGGUUGUUAUAAAUCGUGCUUUAUUGCUUAUUGCUUACCCACAACAGUUAGCUAUGGUGGGCGUUGCACUAUGCACUGUACACAUCAAAUUCAAUUAGAAAAUUUUGGUUUGGUAUAAUUAAACAUUGUGUUUAAUAAAUAUUUGGAUUUGGAUUGUGCCGUUCGCCAAUAGCAACUAUAGUGUAGUUUUCAUUGUAUGCUCUUGUAAUUAGGUCUUGGAUUUGUUAGUUUUAAGAAGAAAUAUAUGCCUCUCUCAUGAGAUUAUCAUUUAUGUUCGAGCAAUAGUCUAUGAUAUACCUGUUUGAAGAGAGUGUACUUUGUUUCAGCCCAUUAUUUGUUACAUGGAAGAAAGUGGUAAAUGGCGGCGAGCCUCGACUUCGGGGAUGUAUUGGUUCUCUAGAAGCACGCGGCUUAAUCAAUGGCUUCAAAGAUUAUGCGCUCAACAGCGCUCUCAGAGACCGCAGAUUUCCACCCAUACAGGCAAAAGAGCUUCCUACUUUGGAGUGUACAGUAUCUAUUCUUACUGAUUAUGAAAAUGCUAACGACUACCUUGAUUGGGAGGUAGGGACACAUGGUAUAAUUAUUGAAUUUACUGAUCCUGACUACAACACAAGGCGAAGUGCCACAUACCUGCCUGAAGUGGCUGCCCAUGAAGGUUGGACUAAAUUAGAGGCCAUCGAUUCCUUGAUACGCAAAGCCGGCUACAAUGGUGCAAUCACAGAGUCACUCAGGAAGCGUUUACAGCUGACCAAAUACCAAAGUACCUUAUUUACAAUGCACUACAGUGAAUAUGUUGCCUAUGUGAAGCAGGCAAGAGGUGAAGCUCCUUCUAUUCUUGGAGCCAAGUUACGCAACUAGUAUUCAUUUCAAACUAAACUUUUCCAAAAUUGCAUAGCUUCUUUGGUUAAAGAAAGAAGACUAUUUCCUAAAGAAAGGAAAAGAAAGAAAAACAGGUGCAAUUUGUUCUUUUCUCAAUUGAACCUAUUGCUAUGAUUGGUGCAACUCUUUCACAUUCUUCAAAUUCAUUUGAUUUUGAAGAAAUUAAUAACACUGGAUUCAGUUAUUUAUGAAAUAUUCAGCUCUUUUGAACUGCUUUAUGCCA
Molecule: non-coding RNA, 1384 nt
Organism: Arachis ipaensis
Lineage: Eukaryota; Viridiplantae; Streptophyta; Magnoliopsida; Fabales; Fabaceae
Source: RefSeq, a predicted model, not a curated record